Long non-coding RNA from Trichoplusia ni (cabbage looper), 450 nucleotides. RefSeq lists it as uncharacterized. Lineage: Eukaryota; Metazoa; Arthropoda; Insecta; Lepidoptera; Noctuidae. The record is from RefSeq and is a predicted model, not a curated record. The transcript has 2 exons.
AAACAUUGUUCAUGCGACUCAAACCUGCGUAACCGAGAGUUGUGUUCAGCGUAAGUAAGAAUAUAUAAUAGUAGGCACUUUGCAGUUCAAAUCAGUGUAUCAUACAGUACGACACUGAUUAAAAUGUCUCGUUUAGUUGUGUUUGUAUUAAUUCUUGCAGUAGUUCCAUGUGUUUUUUCUGCUCCAGAAGCAAGACAUUACUCCGGUUCGGCAAGAGCUGAUGAUGGCAGUAUUGCAGUCGGCAUUGUGAGUGGCGGCACGUUCGGCCCCAGAUCCUUCAGCAUCGGCCACGGCGGCGACAGCCAAGGGUACGGCACCGGCGGAGCGGGUGGCAACAAACAAAGUUCAAAGUACAACACUAAUGACAUAAAUUAGCAUUAUAUUAUAGUUUUGUAAGUUCACGUACGACAGCAUUAUAGUGUUUAACAUUAAAAAAUAAUUUAAAUUUUA